AGAGUUUGAUCCUGGCUCAGGAUGAACGCUAGCGGCGUGCUUAAUACAUGCAAGUCGAACGGAGUUGUUUUAAUCAUGAUGUAGCUUGCUAUGGAUUGAUUUUUACAACUUAGUGGCGGACGGGUGAGUAACGCGUGGGUAACCUGCCCUGUACAGGGGGAUAACGGUUGGAAACGACCGCUAAAACCGCAUAACAUCGGAAUACCGCAUGAUGUUCCGGUCAAAUAUUUAUAGGUACAGGAUGGGCCCGCGUCUGAUUAGCUAGUUGGCGAGGUAACGGCCCACCAAGGCGACGAUCAGUAGCCGUACUGAGAGGUAGAACGGCCACAUUGGGACUGAGACACGGCCCAAACUCCUACGGGAGGCAGCAGUAGGGAAUAUUGGUCAAUGGGGGAAACCCUGAACCAGCGACGCCGCGUGAGUGAAGAAGUAUUUCGGUAUGUAAAGCUCUAUCAGCAGGGACGAUAAUGACGGUACCUGACUAAGAAGCCCCGGCUAACUACGUGCCAGCAGCCGCGG
This 519-nucleotide ribosomal RNA is filed under the name uncultured bacterium. RNAcentral describes it as "bacterial SSU rRNA". It matches the Rfam family "Bacterial small subunit ribosomal RNA", at positions 8 to 520 of the family's 1533-position model. The record is from RNAcentral.